GGGUUGUGAGGUUAAGCGACUAAGCGUACACGGUGGAUGCCCUGGCAGUCAGAGGCGAUGAAGGACGUGCUAAUCUGCGAAAAGCGCCGGCGAGGUGAUAUGAACCUCUGACCCGGCGAUGUCCGAAUGGGGAAACCCAGUGUGUUCCGACACACUAUCGUUAACUGAAUACAUAGGUUAACGAGGCGAACCGGGGGAACUGAAACAUCUAAGUACCCCGAGGAAAAGAAAUCAACCGAGAUUCCCCCAGUAGCGGCGAGCGAACGGGGAGCAGCCCAGAGUCUGAAUCAGCUUGUGUGUUAGUGGAAGCGUCUGGAAAGUCGCACGGUACAGGGUGACAGUCCCGUACACGAAAGCACACAGGCUGUGAACUCGAAGAGUAGGGCGGGACACGUGGUAUCCUGUCUGAAUAUGGGGGGACCAUCCUCCAAGGCUAAAUACUCCUGACUGACCGAUAGUGAACCAGUACCGUGAGGGAAAGGCGAAAAGAACCCCGGCGAGGGGAGUGAAAAAGAACCUGAAACCGUGUACGUACAAGCAGUGGGAGCCUCUUUAUGGGGUGACUGCGUACCUUUUGUAUAAUGGGUCAGCGACUUAUAUUCUGUAGCAAGGUUAACCGUAUAGGGGAGCCGAAGGGAAACCGAGUCUUAACUGGGCGUUAAGUUGCAGGGUAUAGACCCGAAACCCGGUGAUCUAGCCAUGGGCAGGUUGAAGGUUGGGUAACACUAACUGGAGGACCGAACCGACUAAUGUUGAAAAAUUAGCGGAUGACUUGUGGCUGGGGGUGAAAGGCCAAUCAAACCGGGAGAUAGCUGGUUCUCCCCGAAAGCUAUUUAGGUAGCGCCUCGUGAACUCAUCUUCGGGGGUAGAGCACUGUUUCGGCUAGGGGGCCAUCCCGGCUUACCAACCCGAUGCAAACUACGAAUACCGAAGAAUGUUAUCACGGGAGACACACGGCGGGUGCUAACGUCCGUCGUGAAGAGGGAAACAACCCAGACCGCCAGCUAAGGUCCCAAAGUCAUGGUUAAGUGGGAAACGAUGUGGGAAGGCACAGACAGCCAGGAUGUUGGCUUAGAAGCAGCCAUCAUUUAAAGAAAGCGUAAUAGCUCACUGGUCGAGUCGGCCUGCGCGGAAGAUGUAACGGGGCUAAACCAUGCACCGAAGCUGCGGCAGCGACGCUUAUGCGUUGUUGGGUAGGGGAGCGUUCUGUAAGCCGUUGAAGGUGUCCUGUGAGGGGUGCUGGAGGUAUCAGAAGUGCGAAUGCUGACAUAAGUAACGAUAAAGCGGGUGAAAAGCCCGCUCGCCGGAAGACCAAGGGUUCCUGUCCAACGUUAAUCGGGGCAGGGUGAGUCGACCCCUAAGGCGAGGCCGAAAGGCGUAGUCGAUGGGAAACAGGUUAAUAUUCCUGUACUUGGUGUUACUGCGAAGGGGGGACGGAGAAGGCUAUGUUAGCCGGGCGACGGUUGUCCCGGUUUAAGCAUGUAGGCGGAGGUUCCAGGUAAAUCCGGUUCCUUGUUAACGCUGAGGUGUGAUGACGAGGCACUACGGUGCUGAAGUAACAAAUGCCCUGCUUCCAGGAAAAGCCUCUAAGCAUCAGGUAACAUCAAAUCGUACCCCAAACCGACACAGGUGGUCAGGUAGAGAAUACCAAGGCGCUUGAGAGAACUCGGGUGAAGGAACUAGGCAAAAUGGUGCCGUAACUUCGGGAGAAGGCACGCUGAUAUGUAGGUGAAGCCCCUGCGGGUGGAGCUGAAAUCAGUCGAAGAUACCAGCUGGCUGCAACUGUUUAUUAAAAACACAGCACUGUGCAAACACGAAAGUGGACGUAUACGGUGUGACGCCUGCCCGGUGCCGGAAGGUUAAUUGAUGGGGUUAGCGGUAACGCGAAGCUCUUGAUCGAAGCCCCGGUAAACGGCGGCCGUAACUAUAACGGUCCUAAGGUAGCGAAAUUCCUUGUCGGGUAAGUUCCGACCUGCACGAAUGGCGUAAUGAUGGCCAGGCUGUCUCCACCCGAGACUCAGUGAAAUUGAACUCGCUGUGAAGAUGCAGUGUACCCGCGGCAAGACGGAAAGACCCCGUGAACCUUUACUAUAGCUUGACACUGAACACUGGUCCUUGAUGUGUAGGAUAGGUGGGAGGCUUUGAAGCGUGGACGCCAGUCUGCGUGGAGCCAACCUUGAAAUACCACCCUUUAAUGGCUGGUGUUCUAACGUAGACCCGUAAUCCGGGUUGCGGACAGUGUCUGGUGGGUAGUUUGACUGGGGCGGUCUCCUCCCAAAGAGUAACGGAGGAGCACGAAGGUUAGCUAAUCCUGGUCGGACAUCAGGAGGUUAGUGCAAUGGCAUAAGCUAGCUUGACUGCGAGAGUGACGGCUCGAGCAGGUGCGAAAGCAGGUCAUAGUGAUCCGGUGGUUCUGAAUGGAAGGGCCAUCGCUCAACGGAUAAAAGGUACUCCGGGGAUAACAGGCUGAUACCGCCCAAGAGUUCAUAUCGACGGCGGUGUUUGGCACCUCGAUGUCGGCUCAUCACAUCCUGGGGCUGAAGUAGGUCCCAAGGGUAUGGCUGUUCGCCAUUUAAAGUGGUACGCGAGCUGGGUUUAGAACGUCGUGAGACAGUUCGGUCCCUAUCUGCCGUGGGCGCUGGAGAAUUGAGGGGGGCUGCUCCUAGUACGAGAGGACCGGAGUGGACGCAUCACUGGUGUUCGGGUUGUCAUGCCAAUGGCACUGCCCGGUAGCUAAAUGCGGAAGAGAUAAGUGCUGAAAGCAUCUAAGCACGAAACUUGCCCCGAGAUGAGUUCUCCCUGAGACUUUAAGUCUCCUGAAGGAACGUUGAAGACUACGACGUUGAUAGGUCGGGUGUGUAAGCGCAGCGAUGCGUUGAGCUAACCGAUACUAAUGAACCGUGAGGCUUAACCUUACAACGCCGAAGGUGUUU
Molecule: ribosomal RNA, 2933 nt
Filed under: Enterobacter cloacae
Lineage: Bacteria; Pseudomonadati; Pseudomonadota; Gammaproteobacteria; Enterobacterales; Enterobacteriaceae
Also listed under: 1 other name
Description: bacterial LSU rRNA
Rfam family: Bacterial large subunit ribosomal RNA
Source: RNAcentral